UUAAGUGAAGAGUUUGAUCCUGGCUCAGAGUGAACGCUGGCGGCAGGCCUAACACAUGCAAGUCGAACGGCAGCACAGCAGU
This 82-nucleotide ribosomal RNA is filed under the name Lysobacter sp. Its description in RNAcentral is "partial 16S ribosomal RNA". It matches the Rfam family "Bacterial small subunit ribosomal RNA", at positions 1 to 81 of the family's 1533-position model. Lineage: Bacteria; Pseudomonadati; Pseudomonadota; Gammaproteobacteria; Lysobacterales; Lysobacteraceae. The record is from RNAcentral.